RNAcentral lists this transfer RNA (75 nucleotides) under Caudoviricetes sp. Its description in RNAcentral is "tRNA-Gly". It matches the Rfam family "tRNA". Rfam says of the family: Transfer RNA (tRNA) molecules are approximately 80 nucleotides in length. Their secondary structure includes four short double-helical elements and three loops (D, anti-codon, and T loops). Further hydrogen bonds mediate the characteristic L-shaped molecular structure. tRNAs have two regions of fundamental functional importance: the anti-codon, which is responsible for specific mRNA codon recognition, and the 3' end, to which the tRNAs corresponding amino acid is attached (by aminoacyl-tRNA synthetases). tRNAs cope with the degeneracy of the genetic code in two manners: having more than one tRNA (with a specific anti-codon) for a particular amino acid; and 'wobble' base-pairing, i.e. permitting non-standard base-pairing at the 3rd anti-codon position. The record is from RNAcentral. Lineage: Duplodnaviria; Heunggongvirae; Uroviricota; Caudoviricetes.
GCAGAAUUAGUGUUAGCGGUAGCACGUCAGCCUUCCAAGCUGAAAGCACGGGUUCGAAUCCCGCAUUUUGCUCCA